UGGGGAAUUUUGGACAAUGGGCGCAAGCCUGAUCCAGCCAUGCCGCGUGCGGGAAGAAGGCCUUCGGGUUGUAAACCGCUUUUGUCAGGGAAGAAACGGUGAGAGCUAAUAUCUCUCGCUAAUGACGGUACCUGAAGAAUAAGCACCGGCUAACUACGUGCCAGCAGCCGCGGUAAUACGUAGGGUGCAAGCGUUAAUCGGAAUUACUGGGCGUAAAGCGUGCGCAGGCGGUUAUGUAAGACAGAUGUGAAAUCCCCGGGCUCAACCUGGGACCUGCAUUUGUGACUGCAUAGCGAGAGUACGGCAGAGGGGAAUGGAAUUCCGCGUGUAGCAGUGAAAUGCGUAGAUAUGCGGAGGAACACCGAUGGCGAAGGCAAUCCCCUGGGCCUGUACUGACGCUCAUGCACGAAAGCGUGAGGAGCAAACA
RNAcentral lists this ribosomal RNA (427 nucleotides) under uncultured bacterium. RNAcentral describes it as "bacterial SSU rRNA". It matches the Rfam family "Bacterial small subunit ribosomal RNA", at positions 355 to 774 of the family's 1533-position model. The record is from RNAcentral.